This 270-nucleotide ribosomal RNA is filed under the name uncultured bacterium. RNAcentral's name for it is "partial 16S ribosomal RNA". It matches the Rfam family "Bacterial small subunit ribosomal RNA", at positions 83 to 354 of the family's 1533-position model. The record is from RNAcentral.
CUCCGCCGGCGACCGGCGCACGGGUGAGUAACACGUAUGCAACCUGCCCCUGUCAGGGGACAACCGCCGAAAGGCGGGCUAAACCCGCGUACAUGCCACCGGGGCAUCCCGGAGGCAGGAAAGGCUUCGGCCGGACAGGGAUGGGCAUGCGGCGCAUUAGGCAGUAGGCGGGGUAACGGCCCACCUAACCGACGAUGCGUAGGGGUUCUGAGAGGAAGGUCCCCCACACUGGUACUGAGACACGGACCAGACUCCUACGGAAGGCAGCAG